GAUGAAGAACGUAGCGAAACGCGAUAAGUAAUGUGAAUUGCAGAAUUUAGUGAAUCAUCGAAUCUUUGAACGCACAUUGCGCCCCCUGGUAUUCCGGGGGGCAUGCCUGUUCGAGCGUCAUUUCACCACUCAAGCCUCGCUUGGUAUUGGGCAACGCGGUCCGCCGCGUGCCUCAAAUCGACCGGCUGGGUCUUCUGUCCCCUAAGCGUUGUGGAAACUAUUCGCUAAAGGGUGUUCGGGAGGCUACGCCGUAAAACAACCCCAUUUCUAAGGUUGACCUCGGAUCAGGUAGGGAUACCCGCUGAACUUAAGCAUAUCAAUAAGCGGAGGA
This 331-nucleotide unclassified non-coding RNA is filed under the name soil metagenome. RNAcentral's name for it is "partial contains 5.8S ribosomal RNA, internal transcribed spacer 2, and large subunit ribosomal RNA". The stretch from base 1 to 120 matches the Rfam family "5.8S ribosomal RNA", at positions 35 to 154 of the family's 154-position model. The record is from RNAcentral.